RNAcentral lists this ribosomal RNA (1725 nucleotides) under metagenome. Its description in RNAcentral is "bacterial LSU rRNA". It matches the Rfam family "Bacterial large subunit ribosomal RNA", at positions 1069 to 2915 of the family's 2925-position model. The record is from RNAcentral.
CGGGAUGUGAGGUUCCCAAAACAAUCAGGAUGUUGGCUUAGAAGCAGCCAUCAUUUAAAGAAAGCGUAACAGCUCACUGAUCUAAAUAAGGAACUUUGCGCCGAAAAUGUAACGGGGAUUAAGCCAUAAGCCGAAGCUUAGGAUUCACCGCAAGGUGAAUGGUAGCAGAGUGUUCUGUAUGCCUGCGAAGGGUGAGCGUGAGCGAGCCUGGAGGUAUCAGAAGUAAGAAUGCUGACAUGAGUAGCGAUAAAGAGGGUGAGAGACCCUCUCGCCGUAAGUCCAAGGGUUCCUGCGUCAAGUUAAUCUGCGCAGGGUUAGCCGGCCCCUAAGGCAAGGCCGAAAGGCGUAGUCGAUGGGAAUGCGGUAAAUAUUCCGCAGCCUGCUGGAAGUGACGGAUCACGUAACUUGUUCGACCUUACUGGAUUGGUCGGGCCGGGAAGUGGUCCCAGGAAAUAGCUCCAGCUUAUAGCCCGUACCCUAAACCGACACAGGUGGACUGGCAGAGUAUGCUAAGGCGCUUGAGAGAACUGUAUUGAAGGAACUAGGCAAAUUGCUCUCGUAACUUCGGAAGAAGAGAGCCCGGUUUUUACGCAAGUAGAAGCCGGGGGCACAUAGCAGGGGGUGGCGACUGUUUACUAAAAACACAGGACGCUGCGAAAUCCAAAGAUGACGUAUAGCGUCUGACGCCUGCCCGGUGCUGGAAGGUUAAGAGGAGAUGUGAAAGCGUUGAAUCGAAGCCCCAGUAAACGGCGGCCGUAACUAUAACGGUCCUAAGGUAGCGAAAUUCCUUGUCGGGUAAGUUCCGACAUGCACGAAAGGCGUAACGACUUCCCCACUGUCUCCAAUACAGGCUCAGCGAAAUUGAAUUCCCCGUGAAGAUGCGGGGUUCCCGCGGUCAGACGGAAAGACCCCGUGCACCUUUACUGCAACUUUACACUGGCAUUAGGAAUGGGAUGUGUAGAAUAGGUGGUAGGCAUUGAAACCGCGGCGCUAGCUGUGGUGGAGCCGAAAUGUGAAAUACCACCCUUCUUGUUCCUGAUGUCUAACCGCGAUCCUGAAACGGGAUCCGAGACAGUGUAUGGUAGGCAGUUUGACUGGGGCGGUCGCCUCCCAAAGAGUAACGGAGGCGCGCGAUGGUAGGCUCAAUCCGGUCGGAAAUCGGAUGGUGAGUGCAAUGGCAAAAGCCUGCCUGACUGCAAGGUCGACGGACCAAGCAGAGACGAAAGUCGGUCAUAGUGAUCCGGUGAUCCCGCAUGGAAGGGUCAUCGCUCAACGGAUAAAAGGUACGCCGGGGAUAACAGGCUAAUCGCACCCAAGCGUCCAUAGCGACGGUGCGGUUUGGCACCUCGAUGUCGGCUCAUCACAUCCUGGGGCUGUAGCCGGUCCCAAGGGUAUGGCUGUUCGCCAUUUAAAGUGGUACGUGAGCUGGGUUUAGAACGUCGUGAGACAGUUCGGUCCCUAUCUGCCGUGGGUGUUCGAAACUUGAGAAGACUUUUUCCUAGUACGAGAGGACCGGAAAGAACGUAUCUCUGGUGGAUCGGUUGUCACGCCAGUGGCAUAGCCGAGUAGCUAAAUACGGACGAGAUAACCGCUGAAAGCAUCUAAGCGGGAAACUCACUUCAAAACUAGGUUUCGCUUGAGAGCCGGGGAAGACUACCCCGUCGAUAGGCCAGGUGUGUAAGCGCAGCAAUGCGUUGAGCUUACUGGUACUAAUUGCUUGAAAAG